Molecule: transfer RNA, 67 nt
Filed under: Marmota monax (woodchuck)
Lineage: Eukaryota; Metazoa; Chordata; Mammalia; Rodentia; Sciuridae
Description: tRNA.Ala
Source: RNAcentral
GGUUAUGGCUCAGUGGUAGAGUGCUUGCCUAGCAUGUGUGAGGCAUUGGGUUCAAUUCUCAGUACUA